RNA transcript from Nycticebus coucang (slow loris), 5399 nucleotides. It is a transcript of the gene named protein phosphatase 1 regulatory subunit 12B, with no coding region annotated. The transcript has 25 exons. The record is from RefSeq and is a predicted model, not a curated record. NCBI's taxonomy places the organism in Eukaryota, Metazoa, Chordata, Mammalia, Primates, Lorisidae.
AGCUGGAGGAGUAAAGAUGGCGGUGCGGGGGUCUCCGCCUUCUGCUCCUGGCUGAAGUGCUUUGAGGGAGGUAGCAGCGGUUACCAGAGCCGCAACAGCAAUCUAGCGGUGGUAGUUUCGGCAGCAACGGCCAAGGCCAGAGCAAUGGCGGAGCUGGAGCACCUGGGAGGGAAGCGGGCAGAGUCGGCGCGAAUGCGGCGGGCAGAGCAGCUUCGGCGCUGGCGGGGCUCGCUGACAGAGCAGGAGUCCGCGGAGCGACGAGGCGCGGGGCUGCAGCCGCUGACGAGGCGUGGGAGCCCCAGGGUCCGCUUCGAGGAUGGUGCUGUCUUCCUAGCCGCCUGCUCUAGCGGGGACACCGACGAGGUAAAAAAGCUUCUGGCAAGAGGUGCGGACAUAAACACGGUCAACGUGGACGGCUUGACAGCCCUUCACCAGGCCUGUAUUGAUGAAAAUUUGGACAUGGUAAAAUUUUUGGUAGAGAACAGAGCCAACGUAAAUCAGCAAGACAAUGAGGGCUGGACACCCCUUCAUGCAGCAGCUUCCUGUGGCUAUCUCAACAUCGCAGAGUAUUUCAUUAACCACGGAGCCAGUGUGGGUAUUGUCAAUAGUGAAGGUGAAGUCCCCUCUGAUCUUGCAGAAGAACCAGCCAUGAAGGAUCUUCUUCUGGAACAAGUGAAGAAGCAAGGAGUUGAUCUAGAACAGUCAAGAAAAGAAGAAGAGCAGCAGAUGUUGCAGGAUGCCCGCCAGUGGCUCAACAGCGGGAAAAUAGAGGAUGUGAGGCAGACUCGCUCAGGGGCCACAGCCCUCCAUGUGGCCGCUGCCAAGGGCUACUCUGAAGUCCUCAGACUUUUAAUUCAGGCUGGCUAUGAACUCAAUGUUCAGGAUUAUGAUGGCUGGACUCCCCUCCAUGCUGCUGCUCACUGGGGAGUGAAAGAGGCUUGUUCCAUCCUGGCAGAAGCACUCUGCGACAUGGAUAUCCGAAACAAACUGGGCCAGACACCAUUUGAUGUAGCUGAUGAAGGUCUUGUGGAGCACUUGGAGAUGCUUCAGAAGAAGCAGGAUGUGCUUCGAAGUGAAAAGGAGACACGGAAUAAACUCAUUGAGUCAGAUCUGAAUAGCAAAUUGCAGAGUGGACUCUUUAAGAACAAAGAGAAGAUGCUUUAUGAGGAAGAGACACUCAAGUCCCAAGAAAUAGAGGAAGAAAACAAAGAAUCUAGCAGCUCCAGCUCAGAGGAGGAGGAAGGUGAAGAUGAAGCUUCUGAGUCAGAAACUGAGAAGGAGGGAGAUAAAAAGCCAGAAGCCAUUGUCAACCAUUCCAAUUCUGAAAACAAGAGUAUUAUCACAGAGCAAAUACCAGCACCUACUCAGAAUACCUUCUCUGCCUCUUCUGCUAGGAGAUUCUCCUCUAGCCUUUUUAACAAAUCAGAAGAGCCCAAAGAUGAAUCUCCUUCUUCAUGGAGAUUGGGACUCAGAAAAACUGGCAGCCACAACAUGCUAAGUGAGGUGGCCAACUCCAGGGAAGCUCUAAGGGACCGAGGUUCUUCCAUCUACCGCUCCUCAUCAAGCCCUCGGAUUUCUGCUUUGCUGGACAACAAAGAUAAGGAGAGAGAAAACAAAAGCUAUUUUAGUUCACUAACACCUCGGAGACUCAGCAGCACAAGUGACAUUGAAGAAAAGGAGAACAGAGAAUCAGCUGUUAAUCUAGUGAGGAGUGGCUCCUAUACCCGGCAGCUAUGGAGGGAUGAAGCAAAAGGAAACGAAACCCCACAGACAAUUGCUCCUUCUACCUAUGUAUCAACCUACUUGAAAAGGAUUCCUCACAAAUCCCAAGAUGACUCAAUAGCAGAGAAAACAGCAGACAGUGUCUCUUCUACCACUCCGCUUUGUGUGAUCACCAAUCGUCCUUUACCUACCACUGCCAGUGGGGUUACAACUGCCACUGUGCUCCCCAGUACUGGAACAGACUCCUCUGUGGAAGCCAGGGAGAAGAGGAGAUCCUAUCUGACUCCCGUACGGGAUGAAGAAGCAGAGUCUUUACGGAAAGCACGCUCCAGACAAGCUCGGCAGACGCGAAGGUCUACUCAAGGUGUUACCCUAACAGACCUUCAAGAAGCAGAAAGGACUUUCAGCCGGUCGAGAGCAGAGAGGCAAGCUCAGGAGCAGCCUAGCGAGAAGCCUGUAGACACUGAAGGCCUUGAGGGGAGCACUGAGAAGCAUGAGCCCUCUGCAGUCCCAGCAAAGGAGGCUGAAGAAGGCCAGCAGUCCUGGGGCAGGAAUCUGGAUGAAGAGCUUGUCGGUCGUCGCCUGAGGUGUUCAACUCAGCCAGACAAACCCAAAACACCAGUGUCUCCUUCUACAUCAAACCCCUCACUCUACACCAGUUCCCAUCUAUUACAGACAAGUAGAUUUUCGAUCCCUGAUUCUGAGAGUUCAAAGACUACCACAAACACUACAACUACGAGAGAAAUGGACAAAAAUGAGAAUGAAGAAGCAGAUUUGGAUGAUUACUCCUCUAAUAGGCUGUCCAUCCGAGAGAGGCGGCGGCCCAAGGAACGACGAAGAGGUACAGGCAUCAAUUUCUGGACAAAAGAUGAAGAUGAAACUGAUGGUUCUGAAGGGGUCAAAGAAACAUGGCAUGAAAGACUUUCUAGGUUGGAAUCUGGAGGUAGUAGCCCUACAACCAGCGAUUCUUACAGUGACCGGGCUUCAGCAAGAGCCCGUCGGGAGGCCCGGGAGGCCCGUCUAGCCACCCUGACCAGCCGUGUAGAAGAGGACAGCAACAGGGAUUAUAAAAAACUCUAUGAGAGUGCCCUGACUGAAAACCAAAAACUGAAAACAAAACUUCAAGAGGCCCAACUAGAACUAACAGACAUAAAAGCCAAGCUUGAGAAGAUGGCCCAGCAGAAACAAGAAAAGACAUCUGACCGAUCAUCAAUGCUGGAGAUAGAGAAACGGGAGAGGCGAGCCUUGGAACGGAAAAUGUCAGAAAUGGAGGAAGAAAUGAAGAACCUCCACCAGCUAAAACAGAUUCAAACCUUGAAGCAGAUGAACGAGCAACUACAGGCUGAGAACAGGGCCCUGACCCGAGUGGUGGCCAGACUCUCGGAGUCCAUCGAGUCCUCGGACACCCAGGAGCUCUAGUUCUUGCCCCUCCUCUUCACCUCACUUCCCUCCUCUACUACUCCAGGCAGGUGUUAACAGAACUGAAGUCUGACAACCAGAGGCUGAAAGAUGAAAAUGGUGCCCUCAUCAGAGUCAUCAGCAAACUGUCCAAAUAGACUAGCCUCCAAAUUUAAGAGGAAGGGAAAGGACAGCAUUUGCUGCCCCCACCCCUGUUUUCCAGCCCUUGCCUUCCAACCAAAGGAGUGGAUGUUUUGGUGGAAGGACACUUCUUUCUGACCCUCUCCAGUCACCUCUGCACUGUACAUUUUCUCUGCACUCCGAGUGCUCCGUUCCUCUCACAACCCCGCCCCAAGUUUUAUGACAGUUUUAAAAUUGAAGCAUGAUUGUAAUAAUUUGAGCCAUCUGGAGAAGGCCUUGCGGAGUACACCAGGCUCCGCUGUGGACCCCCAGCUUCCUGCUGCUCAGCUACUUGGUCCACAUUGGAUUUGGUUCAAGCAUGUAAGGCUUCUACCUGAACCAGUACUCCUCUGCUUUUUACACUGGCCCAGUGUCCUCUGAUAUAGGUGAGUCUCGUGGUAGUCACUGCAGGAUCCUGUCUGGCACCUGUCUGGGGUGCCAAGAGAAACAGCAGGAUGGUAAAUUAAUCGUCAGACAGGCUUUGGAGCUGUGGAGGUAGCAGUGACUCUACUCUCUAAUCUUCUUCACCUCUCAGGAACUGACUUGUUUUUAUUUUUUUUCUGUCAACAACUCAUUAACAUCCCUGACUAGUCUUAAUUUCUAUUACUCUCUUAUGCCCAGGCCUUUUUCCAAGGCUCAGGUGACCCUGGCUUCAUUUAUUCCCUUCUAUCCUUUCACUUUUUUCCUCUCUGCUCCACCCCCUCACUUGAUGGUAGAAAAGCUAGUACAAAGCACCCGACCUCAUUUGUCUUUGGCCAGUGUGGGAAAUCAUUAUUCUGGAGACUACAAAAUCAUCACUUUGGUGCCUUGGCGGUGGCACCACCAGCCCUCUCCUUGAAAAGCCAUUCCAUGGCUUACAUGUCAGCCCAUGGUUCUCAUCUGCCACUUACCUUCUCCCUACAAAAUGAUUUUCUCUAUUAGAAAAUGUGGGCUUUGAAUACCCCAGUCUGCCUCACUUCCCUUUGACCUCGUUUUCUUCUCUUCACUCUGGCACUUGCUCCUAAGGAGAAAUGAAGUCAGUCUAGGGAGGAAUGAGAGGUGGGGAGGGAAGAUUGUUGGGAGAUGGGGCAGGGAGUGGUGCAGGCUGGAAAGACACAUGGUGAAAGUACAUUAUCUGAGGACACUUGCAACAUGGUGACAAAGAAGGUAGAAGACAGCAGCCCAUUGCAUGGCAGCAAUGGUGGAGAAUUUGGUAUUUCCAGUGGUUAGAUUUAGAGGAAAGACAUGUGCUUUCUUAGAAGCUAACAGGAGAAAUAGCGUUUAGUAGAGGUUUAAAGGAAUGAAGUAUUUUUCAACCCAUGGAUGAGAGUCAUGGAAUUUUAGGCCAGGAGGUCAUUUGGUCCAGCUUUCUAGUGUGGUGUCACAGGGACCCCUGCUACCAGAGCUUUUACCCAGGAUUUGGUACCUCUGGUGGCUGUGCAUUUAUUACUUGAAAGUUAAGUAGCUCUAAUGACCAGAGGGUUUUCCUGCUAGGAGCUGAAGUCUGCCUAUGGGUUCUCCCAUGGUCCUGAUCUACCCUUUGCAGGUCUUCGACAUGACAGCCCUUCACAUGUGUGCAUUGGUACAUUGGUGAUCUCUCCUUGUCUUCUCGAGCUGAUGCUCCUUGUGGCCUUUCAGUAACUGCUCACAUAACAUGCUUUUCUUGCCUGUUGCAUCUCCUCUAGCCAAAAACAGCCUUUUAAAAUAUCAGACCUGGAAAGAAUAUUCCAUAAACCCAGCAUAAACGUAAACCAUUAAUUCUUGAUGACCCCAUAUUAAUACUUACAGUAUUUUCUUUUUGUAGGAGUUUUAUUCCUUGGCUCAUUUUGAAUGUUCAGGUCAUUUCAAUCAUCAUUUUAGGGUUGCCAGUGAUAAUCAGUGCUUAGAGUGGCCCAUUCUUUUAAUAUAUAUGUGUACUACCACUGGCUGUUAAUUUCUUACCUAAAAAUGACAGAAUAGUUCUCCUUGGACCUCUGAAACAUCACAUGCUCUUUAAACCAGAAGCUAUAAUUCAAGAUCCCAGUUCCAGAACAGGAGAUACAUAGGGUGGUAUAUAAUAGUAUGAUACAUGUAUAUAUAAUAUAUACCAUAUAUAUGUGUGUAUAUAUAUAUAUAUAUAA